RNAcentral lists this ribosomal RNA (207 nucleotides) under uncultured bacterium. RNAcentral describes it as "partial 16S ribosomal RNA". It matches the Rfam family "Bacterial small subunit ribosomal RNA", at positions 568 to 774 of the family's 1533-position model. The record is from RNAcentral.
CACGUAGGCGGCUUCUUAAGUCAGGGGUGAAAUCCUGGAGCUCAACUCCAGAACUGCCUUUGAUACUGAGGAGCUGGAGUCCGGGAGAGGUGAGUGGAACUGCGAGUGUAGAGGUGAAAUUCGUAGAUAUUCGCAAGAACACCAGUGGCGAAGGCGGCUCACUGGCCCGGUACUGACGCUGAGGUGCGAAAGCGUGGGGAGUAAACA